GGACUACUGGGGUAUCUAAUCCUGUUCGCUCCCCACGCUUUCGCUCCUCAGUGUCAGGUAAGGCCCAGAGAACCGCCUUCGCCACCGGUGUUCCUCCCGAUAUCUGCGCAUUUCACCGCUACACCGGGAAUUCCAUUCUCCCCUACCUACCUCUAGUUCACCCGUAUCCGCAGCAAGUCCAGGGUUGAGCCCUGGAAUUUCACAACAGACGUGGCGAACCACCUACGAGCUCUUUACGCCCAAUAAUUCCGGACAACGCUUGCGCCCUACGUGUUACCGCGGCUGCUGGCAC
This 292-nucleotide ribosomal RNA is filed under the name uncultured bacterium. Its description in RNAcentral is "partial 16S ribosomal RNA". The record is from RNAcentral.